Molecule: long non-coding RNA, 4043 nt
Organism: Pteropus alecto (black flying fox)
Lineage: Eukaryota; Metazoa; Chordata; Mammalia; Chiroptera; Pteropodidae
Exons: 6
Source: RefSeq, a predicted model, not a curated record
UGGCGUUCCCGGAUUCCACUUUUGGCAGCUGGUCGCUGAUGAUCUCCACCAGCAUCGCGGGGAACUCCACUUUCAGAGCCUGGGACUCUCGGAAGGUAUAGAAGCAAAAUUCCAACAAGUCACUCACCAACUGCAACACAGACAAAGAGAGGACGUGACAUGAAGGCCUGACUUCUGUCCCUGGACCACUCUGUGUUAUAACUCUGUGUAAACUCAAAAGAGCAACGCUGGGAAUCCAACCAGGAAAUCAAGGCUGAUUUUGAGAGAGCGAGUGGAAGCAUCAAGGACAACUUUGUUUCCUUGCCUGUCCCUACUCUGUGACCCAAGGACCUUUCUCAUCCUCCUGGAACUGAAUCGCUCCCAAUUCUACUGAGAAAGCAGCUUGUUUCCAGUCAUGAGCUGGUACCCAGAGCUUCUGUUUACAGACAACUCUGUAUGGACAGCCCUCCAGGAAUAUUCCAGAAGUUUCUCUGGACACUAACUUGGCAUGGAAUGAGUUUUCAGAACCGUCACUCAUUCUCUUCAGAUGAUCUCCUUGAAGACAGGAACUGCCUGUGCCACCAGCAUUCAGGAGAGGCCCCGCCCUGCCAUGUCUGAGCAGCCCUGGUCCCACUGCUCUGCUGAGCUUGAGAGUCUAGAAGGCCUCCUAGAUGUGACCAAGAGAAAAAAGAUCGGCGAGACCCCCCUGAGAAGCGAUAGAAGCGUAAGAUGGCUCCUCCUUUUUGUCUCUCCCUUUUUAAGAGUUAGACAUCCAUCCAUGAACAAAUAGGAGCUGUGGGCACCAGCACUGUAUGCCAAGAGACUUGGGAAGAGUCUUCCCCACCUGUGGAUCCAGCCAAGCAGCGAACUUGCCCCAACCCCUCUCACCAAAGUCAGGGGAAUGCACCUGGAGAGUGCUGAUCUGGGCAGACACCCACAGACAAAAGAGAAAUUGAAUAGGUCCAGUCUUCCCAAGGGGAAAUUCCAGCAUGCGAUCGGACCAACCCCUCCCCACCAAAACGAGUUUGAAUGCAGCGGAGAUGGUAAGAACUUGACCAGCACCCCACACACAACAGUGCACGGGGCUGAACUAUCAUAGGGCGGUGAUGUCCCCUAUGGAGGAGAGGGGGAGAGCAGUAAUGAGUACCUGCCUACCCCAGUGGUGCAGGUAGAGAAGCCCCUUUCCAGCAGUACCAGGAUACUGAGGUAGGACCUCCAGGACUGGGAGGAGGAAGGGGACUUAUAUUCUGCUGCUUCCCUAAAGAGCAUUAAAGGAACAAAGUUCCUGCUUGGGAGCACCAUACCUGGGGAUACUGGGUCCACAGGUACCCCAAGUGCAAAAUCCAUACCUCUCCCCACUCUGGCUCUUGGUGUGAAUUUCCAAGUCUGGAAGCAAGGGCAAGGCCCAAUAGGGACUGCCCUCAGCGAACAGUCCUGGGUCUGGGAGAAACCACUAACUGAAGCUAUAGCGCCACCUUCUGGAAAACGAGAAGCUUCCGGCAGCCAGCCAGGAGUGCUAAGAACCACAGAGGACGUAAACGCUUAGGAAUCCUGCCACAAGAGGGAGCCAUGCAAGAGUAACAGCAGUAGCCAUUCAAAGGCAGAAAACCCCUCUAUGCAACAUCAGCACCAAUGAACAGAAUACUCAUUUGAAGACAACGUGCAAAGAUUUAAGGAGGUACCUGCUACUUGAAAUGAGAAAGCAAUACAAUACUACAACGAAUGUUAUCAAGGAAACAUGUCAUCAAAAAGUGAUAAUCUUCUAACAAACAACCAAGUACAAAGGCAUGCAAUUUUGUGAUCUUGCUGAUGAAGAAUCCAAAAAUCCCAGUUUUGAAGAAACGCAGCUAAAAGAAAACUCCAAUUCAUGAAAAAAUAGGAUCAAUGAAAUAUUUACCAAUAAGAAGAACCAAGGAGAAAUUAUGGCGCUGAAAACUAGUGAAAUCAAAAAUGUAAUAGAGAGCAUGUGAAAUAGAGUAGAGCGAGUGGAACACAGAAUAAGUGAGUUAGAGGGUAGGAAGUGUGCAGUAACCCAGUUACAGGAGAACAAAGAAAGCCUACAUGAUCUAUGUGAUUUCAUCCGAGGAACAAGUAUGAGAAUAAUUGGAAUUCCAGAAGAAGAAGGGGGAGGGUAGAAUAUUAAUAGCCGAGAACAUCCCAAACUUGGGGAGAGAACUAACUGAAUAUCCAAGUUCAAAGCUAAUAGAUCGCCCUAUUAUCUCAAUGCACAAAGACCUUAUCCAAAAUACAUUAUAAUGAAACUGUCGAAAGAAUUCUAAAAGCAGUCAGAAGAUGAUAGCUUAAUGUGGGUUCCUUUGUAGGUUAUCAGUGGUUUUCUCAGCAAAACCCCUAUAAGCCAGGAGAGAGUAGAAUUAGAUAUUCCAAGUGUUGAAAGAAAAAAAAAUUGCCAGCUAAGAAUACUGUCUGGCAAAGUUAUCCUUCAGCUAUGAAGGAGAAACACUUUCCUUAAAAGUGAAGAUAAUUCAUCACUACUAGACCUGCCUCAGAAGAAAUGCUGAAAGGAGUUCUUCAAGCUGAAAUGAACAGAGGCUAAUCAGUGACGAAAACAUAUGAAAGUAUGCAACACACUGAUAAAUAUUAGGAAACUCAGAUUCUGUAAUUGGAUCAUGUGUUGACCACUUAACUAAAGUAUAAAGUUCAAAGGAAAAGAGUACUAAAAAUCGUAGCUUCUAUAAUUUGUUAAUAAGUACACAUAUAAAAACAGGUAAAUAAAAAUGAAAGAAAUAAAAAGGGGAAUGUAAGAGUGAAGCUUUUAUAGUCAGUUGAAAUUAAGUUGCUAUCAGCUUGAAAUGUACUGUUUUAUUUAUGGGCUGUCUUAUGUCAGACUCAUGAUAACCAUAAAGCAAACACCUGGAGUACAUGCGCAGAAGGUAAAAAAAGAAACAAGGCAUACCACUAUGGAAAAUCAGCCAUUUACAAAGAUAGGCUGAAAGAGAAGGAAAACGACCAGAAAGCAAUAAGAUGGCAUUAGUAAGUUCUUACGUAUCAAUAGUAACUCUAACGGUUAAUGGACUGAAUUUACCAAUCAAAAGUCAAAGAGUAGCAAAUAAAAUCCAAUGAAAGAGGAGACAUUAUAAGAGACUACAAACAAUGAGAUGCUAACAAAUUGGAUAACCUAGGAUAUAUAGAAGAAUUCUUAGAAAUAAAAGAUCUGAACAGACCACUAAUGAGUAAGGAGACUGAAUCGGUAAUGAAAAAACUCCCAACACAGAAAACCCCAGGACCAGAUGGCUUCACUGGUGAAUUCUACCAAACAUUUAAAGGAGAAUUAACGUCAGUCCUUCUCAAACUCUUUCAAAAACCUGAAGAGGGAACAUGUCCAAACUCAUCAUAUGAGGCCAGCAUUACUCUAAUACUAAAGCCAGACAAAGCACAAGAAAAAAAAAAAAAAAAAAACAGGCCAAGAUACCUGAUGGAUAAAGAUACAGAAAUGCUCAACAAAAUAGUAGCAAACCAUUCAACACUUCAUUAAAAGGAUUAUACAUCAUGACCACACAGGAUUUAUCUUCGAGAUGGAAGGAUUUUUUAAAAUAUGUAAAUCAGUAAAUGUGAUAAACAGUAAUAGAUAAAAACCACAUAAUCAUCUUAAUAGAUAACAGAAAAAGCAUUUGACAAAAUACAACAUCCUUUCAUGAUAAAAACAAAUUUGGAUAUGAAAGGAAUAUACCUCAACACAAUAAAGGCCAUAGAUGACAAACCCACAGCUAACAUUUUACUCAAUGGUGAAAAAUUGCAAGUUUCCUCAAAGAUCAGGAACAAAGCAAGAGUGUUCACUCUCAUCACUCCUAUUCCACAUAGUACUAGAAGUCCGAGCUAAAGCAAUUAGGAAAGACAAAAAUAAAUAAAAGGCAUCCAAAUUGGAAAGGAAACAAAAUUGUCAUUAUUUACACAUGAUAUUAUGUAUAGAAAAUCCGAAAAACUCAACCCCCAAAUUAUUGGGUUAAUCAAUGAAUCAGUAAGUUCUAGGAUUAAAAUCAACAUACAGAAAUGUUACAUUUCUGUAUACUAACAACUAAACAUCAAAAAAAAAAAAAAAAAAGAAA